This 2930-nucleotide ribosomal RNA is filed under the name Escherichia coli. RNAcentral describes it as "23S ribosomal RNA". It matches the Rfam family "Bacterial large subunit ribosomal RNA". The record is from RNAcentral. Lineage: Bacteria; Pseudomonadati; Pseudomonadota; Gammaproteobacteria; Enterobacterales; Enterobacteriaceae.
GGGUUGUGAGGUUAAGCGACUAAGCGUACACGGUGGAUGCCCUGGCAGUCAGAGGCGAUGAAGGACGUGCUAAUCUGCGAUAAGCGUCGGUAAGGUGAUAUGAACCGUUAUAACCGGCGAUUUCCGAAUGGGGAAACCCAGUGUGUUUCGACACACUAUCAUUAACUGAAUCCAUAGGUUAAUGAGGCGAACCGGGGGAACUGAAACAUCUAAGUACCCCGAGGAAAAGAAAUCAACCGAGAUUCCCCCAGUAGCGGCGAGCGAACGGGGAGCAGCCCAGAGCCUGAAUCAGUGUGUGUGUUAGUGGAAGCGUCUGGAAAGGCGCGCGAUACAGGGUGACAGCCCCGUACACAAAAAUGCACAUGCUGUGAGCUCGAUGAGUAGGGCGGGACACGUGGUAUCCUGUCUGAAUAUGGGGGGACCAUCCUCCAAGGCUAAAUACUCCUGACUGACCGAUAGUGAACCAGUACCGUGAGGGAAAGGCGAAAAGAACCCCGGCGAGGGGAGUGAAAAAGAACCUGAAACCGUGUACGUACAAGCAGUGGGAGCACGCUUAGGCGUGUGACUGCGUACCUUUUGUAUAAUGGGUCAGCGACUUAUAUUCUGUAGCAAGGUUAACCGAAUAGGGGAGCCGAAGGGAAACCGAGUCUUAACUGGGCGUUAAGUUGCAGGGUAUAGACCCGAAACCCGGUGAUCUAGCCAUGGGCAGGUUGAAGGUUGGGUAACACUAACUGGAGGACCGAACCGACUAAUGUUGAAAAAUUAGCGGAUGACUUGUGGCUGGGGGUGAAAGGCCAAUCAAACCGGGAGAUAGCUGGUUCUCCCCGAAAGCUAUUUAGGUAGCGCCUCGUGAAUUCAUCUCCGGGGGUAGAGCACUGUUUCGGCAAGGGGGUCAUCCCGACUUACCAACCCGAUGCAAACUGCGAAUACCGGAGAAUGUUAUCACGGGAGACACACGGCGGGUGCUAACGUCCGUCGUGAAGAGGGAAACAACCCAGACCGCCAGCUAAGGUCCCAAAGUCAUGGUUAAGUGGGAAACGAUGUGGGAAGGCCCAGACAGCCAGGAUGUUGGCUUAGAAGCAGCCAUCAUUUAAAGAAAGCGUAAUAGCUCACUGGUCGAGUCGGCCUGCGCGGAAGAUGUAACGGGGCUAAACCAUGCACCGAAGCUGCGGCAGCGACGCUGAUGCGUUGUUGGGUAGGGGAGCGUUCUGUAAGCCUGUGAAGGUGUACUGUGAGGUAUGCUGGAGGUAUCAGAAGUGCGAAUGCUGACAUAAGUAACGAUAAAGCGGGUGAAAAGCCCGCUCGCCGGAAGACCAAGGGUUCCUGUCCAACGUUAAUCGGGGCAGGGUGAGUCGACCCCUAAGGCGAGGCCGAAAGGCGUAGUCGAUGGGAAACAGGUUAAUAUUCCUGUACUUGGUGUUACUGCGAAGGGGGGACGGAGAAGGCUAUGUUGGCCGGGCGACGGUUGUCCCGGUUUAAGCGUGUAGGCUGGUUUUCCAGGCAAAUCCGGAAAAUCAAGGCUGAGGCGUGAUGACGAGGCACUACGGUGCUGAAGCAACAAAUGCCCUGCUUCCAGGAAAAGCCUCUAAGCAUCAGGUAACAUCAAAUCGUACCCCAAACCGACACAGGUGGUCAGGUAGAGAAUACCAAGGCGCUUGAGAGAACUCGGGUGAAGGAACUAGGCAAAAUGGUGCCGUAACUUCGGGAGAAGGCACGCUGAUAUGUAGGUGAAGCGACUUGCUCGUGGAGCUGAAAUCAGUCGAAGAUACCAGCUGGCUGCAACUGUUUAUUAAAAACACAGCACUGUGCAAACACGAAAGUGGACGUAUACGGUGUGACGCCUGCCCGGUGCCGGAAGGUUAAUUGAUGGGGUUAGCGCAAGCGAAGCUCUUGAUCGAAGCCCCGGUAAACGGCGGCCGUAACUAUAACGGUCCUAAGGUAGCGAAAUUCCUUGUCGGGUAAGUUCCGACCUGCACGAAUGGCGUAAUGAUGGCCAGGCUGUCUCCACCCGAGACUCAGUGAAAUUGAACUCGCUGUGAAGAUGCAGUGUACCCGCGGCAAGACGGAAAGACCCCGUGAACCUUUACUAUAGCUUGACACUGAACAUUGAGCCUUGAUGUGUAGGAUAGGUGGGAGGCUUUGAAGUGUGGACGCCAGUCUGCAUGGAGCCGACCUUGAAAUACCACCCUUUAAUGUUUGAUGUUCUAACGUGGACCCGUAAUCCGGGUUGCGGACAGUGUCUGGUGGGUAGUUUGACUGGGGCGGUCUCCUCCUAAAGAGUAACGGAGGAGCACGAAGGUUGGCUAAUCCUGGUCGGACAUCAGGAGGUUAGUGCAAUGGCAUAAGCCAGCUUGACUGCGAGCGUGACGGCGCGAGCAGGUGCGAAAGCAGGUCAUAGUGAUCCGGUGGUUCUGAAUGGAAGGGCCAUCGCUCAACGGAUAAAAGGUACUCCGGGGAUAACAGGCUGAUACCGCCCAAGAGUUCAUAUCGACGGCGGUGUUUGGCACCUCGAUGUCGGCUCAUCACAUCCUGGGGCUGAAGUAGGUCCCAAGGGUAUGGCUGUUCGCCAUUUAAAGUGGUACGCGAGCUGGGUUUAGAACGUCGUGAGACAGUUCGGUCCCUAUCUGCCGUGGGCGCUGGAGAACUGAGGGGGGCUGCUCCUAGUACGAGAGGACCGGAGUGGACGCAUCACUGGUGUUCGGGUUGUCAUGCCAAUGGCACUGCCCGGUAGCUAAAUGCGGAAGAGAUAAGUGCUGAAAGCAUCUAAGCACGAAACUUGCCCCGAGAUGAGUUCUCCCUGACUCCUUGAGAGUCCUGAAGGAACGUUGAAGACGACGACGUUGAUAGGCCGGGUGUGUAAGCGCAGCGAUGCGUUGAGCUAACCGGUACUAAUGAACCGUGAGGCUUAACCUUACAACGCCGAAGCUGUU